RNAcentral lists this ribosomal RNA (377 nucleotides) under uncultured bacterium. Its description in RNAcentral is "bacterial SSU rRNA". It matches the Rfam family "Bacterial small subunit ribosomal RNA", at positions 521 to 896 of the family's 1533-position model. The record is from RNAcentral.
UAAUACGGAGGGUGCAAGCGUUGUUCGGGAUUACUGGGCUUAAAGCGCGUGCAGGCGGAAUAUCAGGUGUCAUGUGAAAGCCCCGGUCUCAACCCGGGAACUGCCUGGCAAACCGGUAUUCUUGAGGCAAGUAGAGGUGAGUGGAACAACUGGUGGAGCGGUGAAAUGCGUAGAUAUCAGUUGGAACGCCGGAGGCGAAAGCGGCUCACUGGGCUUGUUCUGACGCUGAGACGCGAAAGCGUGGGUAGCAAACAGGAUUAGAUACCCUGGUAGUCCACGCCGUAAACGAUGCGCACUAGGUAUGGGAGGUUCUGACGCCGACCGUGCCGAAGCAAAAGUGUUAAGUGCGCCGCCUGGGGAGUACGGCCGCAAGGCUA